AUGGUAAAACGAGGGCUUAGCUGUCUCCUUUUUCAUGUCAAUGAAAUUGAUAUUCUCGUGCAAAAGCGGGAAUUUCCCCAUAAGACGAGAAGACCCUGUGAAGCUUCAGAUGUUAAGAUAGACUUAGUUAAUAAGCCCUGAUGAAGGAUUAAGCUUUAAACCCCUGUCUUAGAGUCUUCGGUUGGGGCGACCACGGGGAGUUGCAUAACCCCCGCGUGGAUUGGGUGCAAAGUGUUUUGUUCCUAAAGCCAAGAGCUUCCGCUCUAACAAACAGAAUUUCUGACUUUUGAGAUCCGGCAAUGCCGAUCAACGAACCAAGUUACUCCAGGGAUAACAGCGUCAUCCUCUUUCAGAGCCCUUAUCGACAAGGGGGUUUACGACCUCGAUGUUGGAUCAGGACAUCCUAAUGGUGCAGCUGCUAUUAAGGGUUCGUUUGUUCAACGAUUAAUAGUCCUACGUGAUCU
RNAcentral lists this ribosomal RNA (464 nucleotides) under Johnius weberi. RNAcentral's name for it is "partial large subunit ribosomal RNA". It matches the Rfam family "Bacterial large subunit ribosomal RNA", at positions 1996 to 2606 of the family's 2925-position model. The record is from RNAcentral. Lineage: Eukaryota; Metazoa; Chordata; Actinopteri; Sciaenidae.